UAACGGGACAAGCUAAUAACUAGCAGGUGAUCAUCCUGAAGUGGCCUGCCUCGGAUUAUUAUAUAACCUGUGACAGGUGAGCCCUCACUAAGCAAGGCUGUGAGGGACUCAUUUUAGGAAAGAUUCCUGCUGUUAAUAGGCUUUUCCUGUUAUUAUUAAACAUAUAUAACAAUCACUAAGUAGUACCACACCCCCUUUACCUUUAGAGGAGAUCUGUGAAGAUGUACUAUCCUGUAGUGAUGCUAUAGAGACAAAUAGAUGACUUAAGUCUUAAUGAUGAUCCUAUAAGAAUUCCUAAAAUUAUAUCUGUGAUUAUUAAGCUCUUUUAUAAUGGGACUGCUAUUAGGUCCUUUUCUGAUAGUCAAAGCUGCAAUGAGAACUCUGUCAGUCUUCCAAGCAUCACCAGUUAUUUGCUCUUAGAUGGUAACCAGACUUUCUCCUACUCAGAGCACAUUCCAAAAGGUUUUAAACAAUCAACCAAAGGUCAUUAAAAGGCAACUAACGAUUUAUUGUAGGUGCUAGGACAGAAGAUAAAAUACCGACUGGGUUUAUCUAUACAAAACUUCACUAAUAGCUUAGUUAUGGUUUUAAACCUUCAGUGAACCUGUGGAGCUCAGACAGAUGAUGGAUGUUUAGCCAGAUAGUUACUCCUAAUGGAUAUGCAUGCACACAUUCGCCGUUGUAAACUUCUGUUUCAAUUUAUGAUUUGAUUUUUUGUGUGAACUUGUGAUGAACUUUGUAACACGUGAUCAUGUAUUCUGAAAGAUGUCUAAGUACUGACGACAAAGAGCAGCACGAGAAUCAUCAAUAGAACGAAGAUCAAUAGGAGACUUUGUGCCUUUCCCCACUUAGGAUCUUUCGCUUUUCCCCUUAGAUAGCUUUCAUAGGAAACUUUUUACAACUUGGUAAUAAACUCUAUAAUCACUUCUCUAAGCGUCUUCUCUUCCUGUGACUUCCAACUAGCAGGCUGAAAAGUUAGAGCCCAGCAGUUCCUGCUGAGAAAAAACAAGGGCAGCAUUGCUUAAUCCUCCACUGUUAGGCUAAAGGUGUUAAUUGCCUAAGCCAGCAGUCUUUUACCCCCAGAAAGAGCAAGAAAGUUUUUAGGACUUUUUAGAAGUUAUCAUCAGCAUUUCAGUAUAAUUACAGAGCUAGAAAGCCCUGAGACCCCCCGACUUUAAAGCCAUCACCAGAGUCCUACUCUGUGAAUCCACUGCUAUCCUGGCCCAGGCUGGGAGGCAUCCUACCUUGUGGGACUGGGAGUUGAAAGCAGAUUCCUAGACUUGGAGUUGAGUAACUUUACCUGCUGAGCCAUCUUGCUGGCCCAGAAAGGUUUUUAAAGAUUAAAAGCACUUUAUUUUUGUAACCAUAUGAGAUUAUAAUGAUUUAGAGUUGCGUUUACAUGACAUCUUCUGAGGUUAACUUCUAAUAUAAUCAAUUCUGGCAGACAUAGACCAUAAAACAAAAGCUCUCUGAAGUCACUAUUAGCCUUCAUAGUGUGAAAGAGUCGAAACUCAAAUGUUGCAAUAGAAGAUGGCUCUUCUUUAUCCAUCGGAUUCUGAGAACUCGGUACAGAACACAGUAGCCUUGACCAUCACCUGAUAAUCACAGAAUCUUCUCAUCACUAGCAUCAUGUAAAGCAGGCAUCACCUAGGAUUUUAACCAACACAGGAAAACCGGAUCAUAUGUCCUGCUUCAAAGCCCCUUACAACCCAUCAUUAUUACUGAGCUCUAAGAGAAUGAAGAAAUAAGAAUCUACUCAUUAAAUAUAAUUAAAAACCUCAUUACCUUUUCCCAAAUAUUGAGACUUUUCUUUCCGAUGUCGGUUUGUGUGUACUCAGCUUUCCAAAGGUUGAUCUUUCUUUGCUUUAAAGAAACAUUGAAAACAACUCUUUAAAUCAAGUGUAAAAAUACUAGUUUAAGUAAUUUUUGAAAUAUGUUAGAGUUAAUACCUCCUUCCCACUGUCCCACUACCCACAACAAUUUUUGAAAAAUCAUAGAAGUUUUUGGUAGCUGUUAGGUAGAUGAGCUGCAAGAUAGUAUAAUUUUAAAAUGUUAAAAAUUUCUAAUCUAUGUGUUUUUUUAUCUUAAAAUUUAUUUAUGUGGUGCUGAAGAGACGGCUCAGCAGUUAAGAACACUAAUUGCUCUUUCAGAGGUCCUGAGUACAAUUCCCAGCAACCACAUGGUGGCUCACAACCAUCUGUAAUGGGAUAGGAUUCCCUCUUGUGAUGUGUCUGAGGACACUGACAGGGUACUCACAUACAUAAAAUAAAUUUAUCUAAAAAAACAAACAAAAAAAAAACCCAAAAACCCUGAUUAAAGUAGGUUUAAAAAAAUAUAUGCUUUAUGAAUAAAAAUAGAAGAAGUACUUAAUUUUUGGGUGACAGCUUUGUUUGAAUUUCUUUCUUUUAAAGUUUACUUUUUAAAUUUUUGAGAUAGGGUCUUAAGUCUGUAUUCCAGGAUGUCCUAGGACUCAGUAUGUAGUUUGGGUUAGCCUCAGACUCAAAAUUUUUCUUUCAGCAUGGAACUAGGUAUAGCCAUUUAAGCCAUUAUUUUCUAAACUAUAAGAAAAAUGGCAAUGGUAACAUUUUAAGUACAAUUCAAUGCACAAAUCUUUUUUGGUCUAAGAAAUGUAUCAUGGUUAAAAAAAAAGUGCUUCAAGUAUCCAGAAAGAAAAUAUGUAAAUAGUUCACAUUUCUAAUAGUAGAGCCUCACCAGGCACCGGUAGUGGUACACACCUUUAAUCCCAGCAGUUGGCGAGGCAGAGGCAGGCAAAUUUCUGAGUUCGAGGCCAGCCUGCUCUACAAAGUGAAUUCUAGGACAGCCAGAGAAACCCUGUCUCAAAAACAAACAAACAAACAAACACCCCAAACAAACAAAAAAAGUAGUGGAGCCUUAUACUAUAUCAAUACAAGUGUUUACGAAUGGCUUUUUAAGUAGCUAGCUUAUAUGUAGACUUUAUAGGAUAUAGGGUUAGAGAGAGCCUUCUGUUAACUGGAAGAGCAAUCUCAGAGAGAAAAACUGAUGUUUACCAUAAGAAAUUCGUUGGUUGGUUGUUCUGUGAACUAUACAAGCUGGGGAACUUACUAUAUAGCCACACUGGCCUUAAAUUCACAUUGAGCCAUCAUCAUCAUCAUCUUCUCUUUUUUUUUUCUUUAAAGCUUUAUUUAGUAUAUGUAAGUACACUGUAGCUGUCUUCAGACACCCCAGGAGAGGGCAUAAGAUCUCAUUACAGAUGGCUGUGAGCCACCAUGUGGUUGCUGGGAUUUGAACUCAGGACCUUUGGAAGAGCAGUCAGUGUUCUU
RNAcentral lists this long non-coding RNA (3302 nucleotides) under Mus musculus (house mouse). RNAcentral's name for it is "long non-coding RNA chr17:71521796-71525098". The record is from RNAcentral. Lineage: Eukaryota; Metazoa; Chordata; Mammalia; Rodentia; Muridae.